Molecule: ribosomal RNA, 253 nt
Filed under: uncultured bacterium
Lineage: Bacteria
Description: partial 16S ribosomal RNA
Rfam family: Bacterial small subunit ribosomal RNA
Source: RNAcentral
UACGUAGGGUGCAAGCGUUGUCCGGAAUUAUUGGGCGUAAGGAGCUUGUAGGCGGUCUGUCGCGUCUGCUGUGAAAAUCCGGGGCUCAACCCCGGACUUGCAGUGGGUACGGGCAGACUAGAGUGUGGUAGGGGAGACUGGAAUUCCUGGUGUAGCGGUGAAAUGCGCAGAUAUCAGGAGGAACACCGGUGGCGAAGGCGGGUCUCUGGGCCGAUACUGACGCUGAGGAGCGAAAGCGUGGGGAGCGAACAGG